RNAcentral lists this unclassified non-coding RNA (3613 nucleotides) under Leishmania donovani. RNAcentral describes it as "gene:LdHU3.05.0690(CDS-product:Surp_module_putati ve)". The record is from RNAcentral. Lineage: Eukaryota; Euglenozoa; Kinetoplastea; Trypanosomatida; Trypanosomatidae.
UGUUCCCUCGUUGCGUGGCUGUUCUAUACCUACACCGAUCCACACACACACACACACAUAUAUACGUAUAUAUAUAUAUAUAUACGCACGUACAUACAACGUGUUGUGCGUCUUCUCGCUUACUCGCCCUGCCCUCUUGCCUUGUCUCCUCUCCGUGCUGCCUGCGUGCGCACAUCCGCCAGUCCUGUCGCACAUCCUUGAGAGCUGCUGGAGCGGGGUGAGCAGCGCCUGGGGCAGCACAAAGACGGCUCAUGGAUCGAUCAACUCCGCCAUUCAUGCCACUGUGCCAGUCGCGGAAGCAGAGUGGUGCCUCGGCAACACCGGUGCUCACCCCCAACGCUGACGACAGAGACGACUUCGCCGAUGUCGACGACAACAACAGCGGCGUCGGCUUUGAUAGCACCACGGUGUUGCUCUGCGGCAGCGCACAUCAACCUGCCAACAAGCCGGCUGACGGGCCCAGCGGCGGCAGCAGCACCAGCGGCGGUAACACAGGUGCUUCUCCGUACACGAUGUUCGAACCAGCUUACGCGCAGCAACAGCAAGGCGUGCUGGGGUCAGUGCUUCCGGAUGAGAAAGCCGUCGCUGCAGCGGGCUGGUGCGGCGGCUCCGUGUUCCCGGCUCCGGACGCCUCUUACUCGCAGCCCUUGCCGCGCCUACUGCCGCCCCCCUACGUCAACACCGCGUCAGCGCGGCCGCCUUUCACAGCUGGCAGUUUAGGCAUUCUCGGUUCAGGCACCACCGUCGAGGGAGUGUCUGCACCACCAUCGGCCUCUGCGUACUCGCCGUCGACCACAGCGGCAGAGUCCGCCACUGGAGCGCCGGUCAACGUGGCAGCCUCAACAGACGUGCUGGAGGUGCCACUGCACGCACCGCGGCUGCGCGUCCCCACCAACCUUCCGCUGGAGCAGACGACAUUGCUCGACCUCCUCGCCACCGCCGUCGUGCAAGGCGGGCCAACGACGGAGGAGGAGAUUGUGAAGCGCGAGAUGGGGCGCGGCAACCCGGCCUUCGCGUUCCUGGGCGAGAAGUUCAACCAUCCAUGUAUGCUGUACUACCGCUGGCGACUGUACUCCCUGCUGCAGGGCGACACGCUCGUCUCGUGGCGCACGCAGCCCUUCCAGAUCGAGGAGGCGCGGCGCGCCUACGUGUGGGUGCCGCCGCCACCGCUCAAGGUCGGCCCGGAGUGCCUCGUCGGGCUGCACCAGCCAGAGCUGCUGGAUCCGGCCUUCGCAACGGGCAGCGGUGGCGACGCGGCAGCGACAGUGGGCGGUGCCGAAGAGGAAGACGGCGCGGACGUGAUUGUGCGCACGGCGCGUCCCCGCCGCCGCCGCCAUCACCGCGGCCGAAGCGCCGAAGACGGGACGAACUAUAAAAGGAGCCGCCAUGAGGCGGGCGACGACACGGACCAUGCAAACCGCAGCCGCGGUCGCAGCGGUAGCAGCAGCAGCAGCAGCAGCGGAAGCAGCAGCAGCAGCAGCAGCAGCAGCAGUGAAUCGGAAGGCGAGCAAGAUGAGCGGAAGGGCGGUAGAGGUGCCACUUUGGCCGGGCGCGGUGAUGGCGACGAGGAGACGACGAAAGCCAAGAGUCAACCCCUCGGGCAAUCUCCCGCCGGCACAAGCGCAGAGGCCCCGUCCUCUGAAGCAGCAGCGGACGCUGCCCACGUUCGGCUGCCACCGCCGUCUGCGCAGUGGAUCUCGCGCCAGUGCACGGCGCACCGGCACGUUUUCGCGAUCCUGCAGCCGCAUCUGCUGGAGAAGUGGACGGCGCUGCUGAACCCCUACGCGAUGGCAGACCCUGCCACCACGGGCGAUGGCGGCAUCGCGGCUCUCUGCGAGCGAUGGUUGCGACGAGACGAGAUUGCAUCUCGCAUGGCGUUCGCCAUUCGACACGCUGACGCGAUGCAUCACCUGCUCAGCGUCCUGCUGGAUGCGGUUGUGAAGGUGGCAUAUGUGGCGACGGCGCGAUCGCGUCAGCAGCCAACCGCUUCCGUCGAUCUCAUCGACAGCAACGUCUACUGCGUGGAGGCGCUGUGGUACCUCUUCGUGCUUCACGACAUCGUGAUGAACGCGUCCAACACACCGGAGCCGUCCGCGACGUCGGCGACGAGCGUGAACAAGAACGUCUCGAACCGGCAGCAGCCGCAGCAGGUGCUCUCCACCGCUGCGGGAAUGAGCGGCGCGACUUUGGCUGGUCGAAUCGGCUUGGAUGAGGAACUCUUUGCCUCCGAGGGAAGUCCGGAAGCACUGGAAGCUCUCUACGAGGUCUUCCGUCGCCAGCACAUGGCUAUCCGUGCAGGCGCAUCAACGCCACCGUCGCCCGCGGCUGCAGCAGGAACAUCAUCAGCGACAGCGACUGCAGUGUCGCCAUCGUCGGCGCUAGGGUCGACUCCGCGUCCUCGGCGCCGUCAGCGCCACCCGCAGCGGCGCUCGCCUUACGAGCGGUGCGGCGAUGCGCUGGAAAUGAUACUUCCGACGCUGAUGGAGGCGUGCACGGCGAUCGCUCUGGCGGUGUCCAUGGACAAGGAACGGCAGCGGUCGCAGGCGGCCGAGACAGCGCCAACUGCAGCGGCUCGAGUCCGCCACUUCAAAGUUCUGCCCCCACAGCAGCAGCAGCAGUCGAAGGCGAAAGGAAAGUCGAAGGCCUCGGAGCACGAGUCGGCGAUGACGUCCUCGUCCACGACGCUGCCCGUCGGCGGAGGCCCUGCUCUGUCGUUAAGGCUCGACGCAGGAUGUGACGCGGCCUCCGUGGCGAAGACGCCGUCGUCCACGCUGCCUCUCUCCUCCCCAUCCGCGGAGGGAAGCGGCUGCACAUCUGCUGGUGGCGGCGCGGACACGGCCGCGCCAUCGACGUCAUCGGCCCCGGCGGUGAUGCUGCUUCACUGGCUCAAGGGGUUCCUCCUCGUUUGGAUGAACGCGGAGCAGCCGCUGCAGCUGCCACCAUCACCAUCGCCGUCAGCGGGAGCAGGAAUGGCAGCCGGAGCCGUCCUACCUCCCGGCACGGUGUGGCCAGACUGUCAGGCCGACGCGGCGGACAUGCCGGACGUGAGUCUCACGUACCAUGUGGAUCCACAGAACGCGUCGCUGCUCGGGCUCGACGCGGCAUCGCAGCAGCAACGUAACGUCUAUCAUCAACCGCCGCUGCUGAGCGCGCGUGCGUGCGCGAUCUUGAAGGAUCGCUAUAGCUUCUUGUUUUGAGUUUUCUUUUUCGGAGUAAGGCAACGAAGGGGGGGGGGGGGCGUUGGCCAGCAGCACAGAGAGGCGGUGACAUCGUGACCGCGUCGCGUUGACGGAAUGAAUUUGAUUGGCGUAGCUGAGCAACGCGUGUGCUGCCGUGCGUCUCAGUCAAGAUGGGGGUGGGAGGGAGGGGCGUUGGGCGUUGGACGAGAUGAGACGCACACGUCGCUGUAUCUCGUUCUCGGCCACCCACCGACCUACCCACCCCCGCCUCUGGUGCUGCUGUUGCUGCGCUGUAAUGGUUAACUUGUAUGUGUGCGCAUGCCUUGUUGGUGUGAGCAUAUGGUCGUGGACGCAGCUGGGCGGAGACGGUCCUCUCCAUCGUCGCGUUGCGACGGUGGCACGCCACCCCUGCACGGAAACCGUAGCACGAACAC